CGGUGGAUCACUCGGCUCGUGUGUCGAUGAAGAGCGCAGCCAACUGUGUGAAUUCAUGUGAAUCGCAGACUGCUUUAAACAUCGACAUCUUGAACGCACAUUGCGACUACAGGCUUGCCUGUAGCCGCGUCUGACCGAGGGUCGGCU
This 147-nucleotide ribosomal RNA is filed under the name Ephedrocephalus microcephalus. RNAcentral's name for it is "partial 5.8S ribosomal RNA". It matches the Rfam family "5.8S ribosomal RNA". Rfam says of the family: 5.8S ribosomal RNA (5.8S rRNA) is a component of the large subunit of the eukaryotic ribosome. Lineage: Eukaryota; Metazoa; Platyhelminthes; Cestoda; Proteocephalidea; Monticelliidae. The record is from RNAcentral.